Molecule: ribosomal RNA, 253 nt
Filed under: uncultured bacterium
Lineage: Bacteria
Description: partial 16S ribosomal RNA
Rfam family: Bacterial small subunit ribosomal RNA
Source: RNAcentral
UACGAAGGGGGCUAGCGUUGUUCGGAAUUACUGGGCGUAAAGGGCGCGUAGGCGGUUUGUCAAGUCAGGCGUGAAAGCCCCGGGCUCAACCUGGGAACUGCGCUUGAGACUGGCAGGCUCGAGUUCGGGAGAGGAUGGUGGAAUUCCCAGUGUAGAGGUGAAAUUCGUAGAUAUUCGGAGGAACACCAGUGGCGAAGGCGGCUCACUGGCUCGGUACUGACGCUGAGGUGCGAAAGCGUGGGGAGCAAACAGG